RNAcentral lists this ribosomal RNA (497 nucleotides) under uncultured bacterium. Its description in RNAcentral is "partial 16S ribosomal RNA". It matches the Rfam family "Bacterial small subunit ribosomal RNA", at positions 28 to 507 of the family's 1533-position model. The record is from RNAcentral.
GAUGAACGCUGGCGGCGUGCCUAAUACAUGCAAGUCGAGCGAACAGACGAGGAGCUUGCUCCUCUGAUGUUAGCGGCGGACGGGUGAGUAACACGUGGAUAACCUACCUAUAAGACUGGGAUAACUUCGGGAAACCGGAGCUAAUACCGGAUAACAUGUUGAACCGCAUGGUUCAACAGUGAAAGACGGUCUUGCUGUCACUUAUAGAUGGAUCCGCGCCGCAUUAGCUAGUUGGUAAGGUAACGGCUUACCAAGGCAACGAUGCGUAGCCGACCUGAGAGGGUGAUCGGCCACACUGGAACUGAGACACGGUCCAGACUCCUACGGGAGGCAGCAGUAGGGAAUCUUACGCAAUGGGCGAAAGCCUGACGGAGCAACGCCGCGUGAGUGAAGAAGGUCUUCGGAUCGUAAAACUCUGUUAUUAGGGAAGAACAAAUGUGUAAGUAACUAUGCACGUCUUGACGGUACCUAAUCAGAAAGCCACGGCUAACUACGUG